Long non-coding RNA from Hordeum vulgare subsp. vulgare (domesticated barley), 2418 nucleotides. RefSeq lists it as uncharacterized. The transcript has 2 exons. NCBI's taxonomy places the organism in Eukaryota, Viridiplantae, Streptophyta, Magnoliopsida, Poales, Poaceae. The record is from RefSeq and is a predicted model, not a curated record.
CCCUGCUAACCGUCAGCUUGGCGCACUUUUCUUAUGUUGUGCCAUGUACAUUGUUGGGCUUGCUAGAUUCGGCCCGUACUAUUUUUUUAGGGUCCAUGUAUUUCUCUAAUUAACCGGGACAUUUUUUUAAUUUUAGAGAAUGCCAUAUUUUAAAUUGCUAUAAAUAAUUAAUCAUGCAUCAAAUUAAAAUAUGUUAGAUAUGUAAAAUGUGUAGAAUAUUGUGUAGUAUAGUAUUCUGUACCUUUCAUGCAUGAUAAACAUGUUUAACGUGGUGUAACACCCACAAAAAAAUUGCCAUGAUUUUAUUUAUUAAAAUUUACCAUGGUUAUUUUAAUUAUUUUUUUUGGGUUUCCUACUGACUUGACACCCCUUCUUUUCUGUGAAUUAUAAAAAUUUCUUCUCUAAGUAGAAACUUUUGGAAAAUAUGAUAUGACUUGAAUGCUUGCCUCAAAUAUUCUUCCCUUCAUUUUCAAAUCCAAUGAAGCCUUUUUUAUAAAUAUUUCCUUUUAAGUUCCAUUUAUUCAAACUGGCUUCUUAAUUCUUUAAAGACCUGAUUUGAAUUGCAACCAUUUGGUAACUUCUUUUAAAAAUUUCACAAAAAUUUAUGGAUGACCUAUAAUGCCCCUUGAUCAAUUUUAUGGAAACACUUUGACAAGUGUUUUGAAAAAUUGAGCUCAUUAUCUUCUUUUGCAUUCUGGUCAAAUUUGAUGUUUUGUACUACACCCCCUUGAUUUACUAUUUAAAAAAUUCUAUAAAAAAUUGGAGAUGCCAAGGCAUGCAUGCGAUUCACUUUAUGCAAAAACCCAACUUUGUGCUUUCAAAAAUAUUUGUGAAACAACCCUUUUUCUAUCCUGAUCCAGUUUGGUGAUUUAUACAGCAGCCCCUAUUUUAAUUGCUUUAGUUGCCUUGGGAUUUUUCCUGCUUGUAGAACACCCUAUCAAACCCUAAGGUUCAUGAGAUGAGAGCCAUUGGGAUAUUUGUAGUCCAUGCUUUAAUGCUCCAAAGUUUCUGUCCACAAAAGGUUUUCUCCAACAGUUGUACUAACAAUUGUUUUCUUCUUUUCACGAAGUAACCAUACCAAAUUGACUAACACCUAAAGCACUCUCGAGAUUUUUGUUGGCAUCAAAACUCCUUAGCAGCCUGUGGCAUUUCAUCAAGCACCUAUGGUGCAUGGCCAGAAUUGGCAUGGGUUUAGUCUGCACUAUGGAGAUGUUCCACUGCCCUAGCCAGCAUGUCCUACAGUUUUAGCUUGCUCCUAGACCCAAGCCUGUUAAACCUUAGCAUUAAGGCCCCCUAGCAUGCCAGGGCAUUCUAUCGAAUGCCUAGUGUGUGUGCUUUGGACGCGUCCAGAGCACGUUUUCUUCACGUGCGGGCCCGAGCCGCCGCGUCCCUGCCCUUGACCCUUGCCAACCGUAAGGGCCACGCCACGCCCGGCUAGUGUAUGUUUUUCUCCUGCUGUACCUGCUGCCUCCCUUGCUGGGUUGAGCGCUGCCACUGCCAGCAGAGCUGCUGUGUUGGCGACUGCUUCGGCUCUGCCAUGGACAGCACUGCCCAAGCGCUCCCCAUGCGCCAGCUGCCCUUGGACACCCCUCCUUGCAUCGUCCUGCACGACCAGCCCUGGCAGCCUGCGUCUGCUACAGAGGAUGACGCGGACGAUCUUAUCCUCGGGCCGUCGCGGAGCUCCCUCGGGCCGGCUAUAAAUAGCCUUCCCCAAAGCAGUUGUGUGCUCCACCACCCCCCUCUCAACCCAUAGUAAGCCUCCUGGGAGCCAGUUUGACCCCAUCGGCCAUCGCUUCCGUCUACGGCCGCGCAACCACCGGAGAGCUCGGGUGAAAUCCGCAGCAUUGCGUCCCUGCGCCAAACCCUCCUCGUUUAGCCCCAUGACGGCCACUGGGAACUUAUCCCCGUAGCCACGAGUGUUAAGGACCUCAGGAUGCCGAGCGCUCUCGAAGGCUGAAGCUGCCGUCCGUCGGAGCCCGCGUCACCGGCGACUCCCUCCAUCCCCUCGCCUACGGAGACCACCAGAAGAAUCACCGGGACCCCAUGAAUCCAUCCCCGUGCCUCAGCAAAUGAGAGCUGCAGCUAGUCGCCGGCGAGGAGCCCUGGAGUGCCGCCCUGGUUCGGCCGAUGGUGAUAGGGGACAAACCCGACAGGUGGCCCCCACCUCUCAGUGAGACAACCAAACCCCCCAGUGGCGCAACCCCUCCCCCCGGAAUUUGAAGAAAGAUCAAAGCUUUCAAAAGUUUUGAUGUGCACCUCACCUGUCUACACAUUCAAGGCAAGCAUUCUGAACCUUGAUAUAUUUUGCUAGUGUGUGGGUUGCUGGAUGAAGAAAACAUUAUGGUUAUGUUAGAUGGGUGAUGACAUUUCAUGCGAUGAUCAUGCAUAUGACUUUAUGAUUGAAAGGACUUUAUUGGA